AACGAACGCUGGCGGCAUGCCUAACACAUGCAAAUCGAACGAGACCUUCGGGUCUAGUGGCGCACGGGUGCGUAACGCGUGGGAACCUGCCCUUAGGUUCGGAAUAACUCCCCGAAAGGGGUGCUAAUACCGGAUAAUGUCUUCGGACCAAAGAUUUAUCGCCUUUGGAUGGGCCCGCGCUGGAUUAGCUAGUUGGUAGGGUAAAAGCCUACCAAGGCGACGAUCCAUAGCUGGUCUGAGAGGAUGAUCAGCCACACUGGGACUGAGACACGGCCCAGACUCCUACGGGAGGCAGCAGUGGGGAAUAUUGGACAAUGGGCGAAAGCCUGAUCCAGCAAUGCCGCGUGAGUGAUGAAGGCCUUAGGGUUGUAAAGCUCUUUUACCCGGGAUGAUAAUGACAGUACCGGGAGAAUAAGCUCCGGCUAACUCCGUG
RNAcentral lists this ribosomal RNA (433 nucleotides) under uncultured bacterium. RNAcentral's name for it is "partial 16S ribosomal RNA". It matches the Rfam family "Bacterial small subunit ribosomal RNA", at positions 29 to 507 of the family's 1533-position model. The record is from RNAcentral.